CCAGUUUUGCUUCAAGGACCAAUCAAAAAGAUUCCUGUACUAUAUCAUAACAGAACUGUGGGGACGCAGACAGAGAGCAUAAGCCGGGAAUGGAAAAACCGGUACAAGCGAGGUAGGAGUGCAUCAGGCAAAUCCGGUGUACAAUCUGAAGACGUGAUGUGGGGCGUAAAGCUGGAAGUAUGUGAGCUGGCUGCCAAGAAAAGCCGCUAUUGUUUAUGAUAUACCCGUACCGUAAACCGACACAGGUGGAUGAGGAGAGAAUCCUAAGGCCGACGGGAGAAGCAUUGUUAAGGAACUCGGCAAAAUGACUCCGUAACUUCGGGAGAAGGAGUGCCAUGUAAAAGUGGCCGCAGAGAAUUGGCCCAAGCAACUGUUUAGCAAAAACACAGGUCUAUGCAAAACCGAAAGGUGAGGUAUAUGGGCUGACGCCUGCCCGGUGCUGGAAGGUUAAGGGGAGAGGUUAGCCGUAAGGCGAAGCUUUGAACUUAAGCCCCAGUAAACGGCGGCCGUAACGAUAACGGUCCUAAGGUAGCGAAAUUCCUUGUCGGGUAAGUUCCGACCCGCACGAAAGGCGUAAUGAUUUGGGCACUGUCUCAACAAUGCACCCGGUGAAAUUGAAAUACCAGUGAAGAUGCUGGUUACCUGCGCCGGGACGGAAAGACCCCAUGGAGCUUUACUCUAGCUUGAUACUGGGAUUCGAUAUUGCAUGUACAGGAUAGGUGGGAGACUUUGAACUGAUGACGCCAGUUGUCAGGGAGUCACUGUUGGGAUACCACCCUUGUAGUAUUGGAUUUCUAACCAGCAGCCGUGAACCGGCUGGGGGACAAUGUCAGGUGGGGAGUUUGACUGGGGCGGUCGCCUCCGAAAGGGUAUCGGAGGCGCUCAAAGGUUCCCUCAGAAUGGUCGGAAACCAUUCGAAGAGUGCAAAGGCAGAAGGGAGCUUGACUGCGACACCGACGGGUGGAGCAGGUACGAAAGUAGGACUUAGUGAUCCGGUGGUAUAAAGUGGGAUUGCCAUCGCUCAACGGAUAAAAGCUACCCUGGGAUAACAGGCUUAUCACUCCCAAGAGUUCACAUCGACGGAGUGGUUUGGCACCUCGAUGUCGGCUCAUCGCAUCCUGGGGCUGAAGUAGGUCCCAAGGGUUGGGCUGUUCGCCCAUUAAAGCGGUACGCGAGCUGGGUUCAGAACGUCGUGAGACAGUUCGGUCCCUAUCCGGCGUGGGCGUAGGAUAUUUGAGAGGAGCUGCCCUUAGUACGAGAGGACCGGGGUGGACUGGCCGCUGGUGGAUCUGUUGUAUUACCAAAUGCAUAGCAGAGUAGCCAAGCCGGGACGGGAUAAACGCUGAAGGCAUCUAAGCGUGAAGCCCCCCUCAAGAUGAGAUAUCCCAUAACGUCAAGUUAGUAAGACCCCUUGAAGACGACGAGGUAGAUAGGGCAGAGGUGGAAGUGCGGUAACGCAUGGAGCUGACUGUUACUAAUAGGUCGAGGGCAUAACC
Molecule: ribosomal RNA, 1496 nt
Filed under: metagenome
Description: bacterial LSU rRNA
Rfam family: Bacterial large subunit ribosomal RNA
Source: RNAcentral